CGUUCUAUGGCCGAAUUGGUAAAGGCAUCGCCGAUCACAGGCAGUUGUGUUGUGGGUUUGAGUCCCGCUGGAACGA
This 76-nucleotide transfer RNA is filed under the name Operophtera brumata (winter moth). It matches the Rfam family "tRNA". From Rfam's summary of the family: Transfer RNA (tRNA) molecules are approximately 80 nucleotides in length. Their secondary structure includes four short double-helical elements and three loops (D, anti-codon, and T loops). Further hydrogen bonds mediate the characteristic L-shaped molecular structure. tRNAs have two regions of fundamental functional importance: the anti-codon, which is responsible for specific mRNA codon recognition, and the 3' end, to which the tRNAs corresponding amino acid is attached (by aminoacyl-tRNA synthetases). tRNAs cope with the degeneracy of the genetic code in two manners: having more than one tRNA (with a specific anti-codon) for a particular amino acid; and 'wobble' base-pairing, i.e. permitting non-standard base-pairing at the 3rd anti-codon position. The record is from Rfam by way of RNAcentral. Lineage: Eukaryota; Metazoa; Arthropoda; Insecta; Lepidoptera; Geometridae.